UACGGGGGUGCGAGCGUUGUCCGGAAUUAUUGGGCGUAAAGAGCUCGUAGGUGGUUUGUCGCGUUGUUCGUGAAAACUCACAGCUUAACUGUGGGCGUGCGGGCGAUACGGGCAGACUUGAGUACUGCAGGGGAGACUGGAAUUCCUGGUGUAGCGGUGGAAAUGCGCAGAUAUCAGGAGGAACACCGGUGGCGAAGGCGGGUCUCUGGACCGAUACUGACGUGAGGAGCGAAAAGCAUGGGGGAGCGAAACAGG
RNAcentral lists this ribosomal RNA (255 nucleotides) under uncultured bacterium. RNAcentral's name for it is "partial 16S ribosomal RNA". It matches the Rfam family "Bacterial small subunit ribosomal RNA", at positions 524 to 776 of the family's 1533-position model. The record is from RNAcentral.